This 578-nucleotide ribosomal RNA is filed under the name Psychrobacter celer. RNAcentral describes it as "bacterial SSU rRNA". It matches the Rfam family "Bacterial small subunit ribosomal RNA", at positions 860 to 1438 of the family's 1533-position model. The record is from RNAcentral. Lineage: Bacteria; Pseudomonadati; Pseudomonadota; Gammaproteobacteria; Moraxellales; Moraxellaceae.
AUAAGUAGACCGCCUGGGGAGUACGGCCGCAAGGUUAANACUCAAAUGAAUUGACGGGGGCCCGCACANGCGGUGGAGCAUGUGGUUUAAUUNGAUGCAACGCGAAGAACCUUACCUGGUCUUGACAUACACAGAAUCUNGUANAGAUACGAGAGUGCCUUCGGGAAUUGUGAUACAGGUGCUGCAUGGCGUCGUCAGCUCGUGUCGUGAGAUGUUGGGUUAAGUCCCGCAACGAGCGCAACCCUUGUCCUUAGUUACCAGCGGGUUAAGCCGGGAACUCUAAGGAUACUGCCAGUGACAAACUGGAGGAAGGCGGGGACGACGUCAAGUCAUCAUGGCCCUUACGACCAGGGCUACACACGUGCUACAAUGGUAGGUACAGAGGGCAGCUACACAGCGAUGUGAUGCGAAUCUCAAAAAGCCUAUCGUAGUCCAGAUUGGAGUCUGCAACUCGACUCCAUGAAGUAGGAAUCGCUAGUAAUCGCGGAUCAGAAUGCCGCGGUGAAUACGUUCCCGGGCCUUGUACACACCNCCCGUCACACCAUGGGAGUUGAUUGCACCAGAAGUGGUUAGCCUAA